GUGUGACCUGCCAGGCACCGCCUUGUCAUCCCCUAAGGCCGAGCCUGACAGAUCACACA
Bison bison bison is the source of this 59-nucleotide microRNA precursor. The record is from Ensembl. Lineage: Eukaryota; Metazoa; Chordata; Mammalia; Artiodactyla; Bovidae.